This is a long non-coding RNA of Hippocampus comes (tiger tail seahorse), 356 nucleotides long. RefSeq lists it as uncharacterized. NCBI's taxonomy places the organism in Eukaryota, Metazoa, Chordata, Actinopteri, Syngnathiformes, Syngnathidae. The record is from RefSeq and is a predicted model, not a curated record. The transcript has 2 exons.
AAAGUGAUUACUCAACGUUUCGUCGCUCAAUAACGCACCGUGCCGCUUUAAAAAGGGUGAAAAAUGUGUUUUUCGUGCUAACAAAGGCCAUAAACGAGCCACCGGUUGCAGCCGGAUUCGUUAAAUACUACAACUAUCUCUAUUUAUCCGAGCGUAUCGAUUCGGUAAAGGUCAAAUCAGUGGCGGCUCGGGAGGACGGCAUGAACCGGAAAAUUUCUUCGGAGACGCUAGUGCGGUUGUCACGACGCCAAGGCGCAUCAUGAAACCACCACGGCGAGCACAAGGCAAAUCAUUCACCGCCCCGGGGAGAGAUGAGAUGAUAAGGUGGCAGCGAACGCGAUGUUCACGGACACCAU